UACGGAGGGUGCACGCGUUGUUCUGAAUUACUGGGCGUAAAGCGCGUGUAGGCGGUCGCUUAAGUCUGAUGUGAAAGCCCGGGGCUCACCCCCGGAAGAGCAUUGGAAACUGGGCGACUAGAGUGCCGGAGAGGAGAGUGGAAUUCCCGGUGUAGCGGGGAAAUGCGUAGAUAUCAGGAGGAACACCGGUGGCGAAGGCGGCUCUCUGGACGGAUACUGACGCUGAGACGCGAAAGCGUGGGGAGCAAACAGG
Molecule: ribosomal RNA, 253 nt
Filed under: uncultured bacterium
Lineage: Bacteria
Description: partial 16S ribosomal RNA
Rfam family: Bacterial small subunit ribosomal RNA
Source: RNAcentral